This 690-nucleotide ribosomal RNA is filed under the name Triticum aestivum (bread wheat). RNAcentral's name for it is "partial small subunit ribosomal RNA". The record is from RNAcentral. Lineage: Eukaryota; Viridiplantae; Streptophyta; Magnoliopsida; Poales; Poaceae.
GAUGCCACAGUUCGAGAGCUUCGCACUGUUGUGAAGCAGGAAGGGCCCGGUCUCCUCUUCUUGAUGGAGACGAAAAUUCCAGCAAAAAGUGUAGAGAAUCUGCAAGCUACCCUAGGCUUCGCAGGAUGUUUUGCCGUGGGAAGUGCUGGCUUAAGUGGAGGUAUUGGCUUGUUCUGGUCAACCGAUCUUAUUGUUGAUCUUAAGAGCUAUAGUUCUGGCCAUAUCGAUGUUAUGGUGCAGAAAAGCGAUCUGAGCGAAGACCCCUUUCGGUUCACGGGUUUUUAUGGCGCCCCCAAAGUGUCCGACCGUCACCACAGUUGGAGGUUUCUCCGCACACUAAACGCAAUCCCACACUCGGCAUGGCUGUGCGUUGGAGACUUCAACGAGACAUUGUAUGCCUCGGAACACUUCUCACGCGCUGCUAGGCCUGAAUGGCAGAUGCGAGCGUUCCGGGAUGCCAUUGAUGAGUGCUUGUUUCAGGACCUGGGAUGGACGGGUACUGAGUACACAUGGGAUAAUGGCCAAUUGGGCGGCGAUAACAUCAGAGCUAGGUUGGACAGAGCUUUUGGAAGUCCAGACCUAAUGCAUCGAUUCAGACACUCAAGAGUGAAGCACAUUAGCACCACCGAAUCUGACCAUUGUUUCGUUCUAACAGAACUGAGGACACAUGACAAUGAGCAUUACGCAUGA